GCUCAGGAUGAACGCUAGCGGCAGGCCUAACACAUGCAAGUCGAACGGUAACAUUGGUUGCUUGCAACCAGAUGACGAGUGGCGCACGGGUGCGGAACGCGUAUGGAACCUGCCCCUGUCAGGGGAAUAGCCCAGAGAAAUUUGGAUUAAUGCCCCAUGGUAACGCGAUGUUGCAUGACAUUGCGUUUAAAGAUUUAUCGGACAGGGAUGGCCAUGCGUAUCAUUAGCUGGUUGGUAAGGUAACGGCUUACCAAGGCAACGAUGAUUAGGGGCCCUGAGAGGGGGAUCCCCCACACUGGUACUGAGACACGGACCAGACUCCUACGGGAGGCAGCAGUGAGGAAUAUUGGACAAUGGUCGGGAGACUGAUCCAGCCAUGCCGCGUGCAGGAUGACUGCCCUAUGGGUUGUAAACUGCUUUUAUACGGGAAGAAACGCAGGUACGUGUACCUGUCUGACGGUACCGCAAGAAUAAGGAUCGGCUAACUCCGUGCCAGCAGCCGCGGUAAUACGGAGGGUCCGAGCGUUAUCCGGAAUCAUUGGGUUUAAAGGGUCCGUAGGCGGGCCUAUAAGUCAGAGGUGAAAGGCCACGGCUCAACCGUGGGACUGCCUUUGAUACUGUAAGUCUUGAGUCAUAGUGGGGUUGCCGGAACAUGUGGUGUAGCGGUGAAAUGCAUAGAUAUCACAUAGAACACCGAUCGCGAAGGCAGGUGGCCAACUAUGAACUGACGCUGAUGGACGAAAGCGUGGGGAGCGAACGGGAUUAGAUACCCCGGUAGUCCACGCCGUAAACGAUGGACACUAGCUGUGGGGUCUUCGGACUCCGUGGCCAAGCGAAAGUGAUAAGUGUCCUACCUGGGGAGUACGUUCGCAAGAAUGAAACUCAAA
This 887-nucleotide ribosomal RNA is filed under the name uncultured marine bacterium. RNAcentral's name for it is "bacterial SSU rRNA". It matches the Rfam family "Bacterial small subunit ribosomal RNA", at positions 22 to 905 of the family's 1533-position model. The record is from RNAcentral.